RNAcentral lists this ribosomal RNA (253 nucleotides) under uncultured bacterium. RNAcentral's name for it is "partial 16S ribosomal RNA". It matches the Rfam family "Bacterial small subunit ribosomal RNA", at positions 524 to 776 of the family's 1533-position model. The record is from RNAcentral.
UACGUAGGGGGCAAGCGUUGUCCGGAAUCAUUGGGCGUAAAGAGCGCGUAGGCGGCCCAGUCAGUCCGCUCUGAAAGUCAGGGGCUCAACCCCUGAAUGCGGGUGGAUACUGCUGGGCUAGAGUCCGGAAGAGGCGAGUGGAAUUCCUGGUGUAGCGGUGAAAUGCGCAGAUAUCAGGAGGAACACCGGUGGCGAAGGCGGCACUCUGGGCCGGUACUGACGCUGAGGAGCGAAAGCGUGGGGAGCGAACAGG